AGUCGAACGGGCCCGGUCGCAAGGCCGGGCCAGUGGCGGAAGGGUGAGUAAGGCGACGGUAACCAACCCCAUGGCCGGGUAUAGCCGCGGGAAACUGCGGGUAAUCCCCAGCGACGUCCGCGUCGGGCAUCCGGCGCGGACCAAAGCUCCGGCGCCGUGGGACGGGCCGUCGUGGUAUUAGGUCGUUGGCGGGGUAAUGGCCCACCAAGCCUCUGAUGCCUACCGGGCGUGCGAGCGUGGCCCGGCACACUGGGACUGAGACACUGCCCAGACUCCUACGGGAGGCUGCAGUCGAGAAUCUUCGGCAAUGGGCGCAAGCCUGACCGAGCGACGCCGCGUGGAGGAUGAAGGCCUUCGGGUUGUAAACUCCUGUCGAGGGGGAGGAAGGCCGCGACAGCGGCUUGACCGAUCCCUGGAGGAAGCACGGGCUAAGUUCGUGCCAGCAGCCGCGGUAAGACGAACCGUGCGAACGUUAUUCGGAAUCACUGGGCUUAAAGCGCGUGUAGGCGGAUGGGGACGUCGGUCGCUGAAAGCCCCCGGCUCAACCGGGGAACGGGCACCGAAACGCCCCGUCUCGAGGGACGUAGGGGGACCUGGAACUUCCGGUGGAGCGGUGAAAUGCGUUGAGAUCGGAAGGAACGCCCGUGGCGAAAGCGAGGUCCUGGACGUCUACUGACGCUGAGACGCGAAAGCUAGGGGAGCGAACGGGAUUAGAUACCCCGGUAGUCCUAGCUGUAAACGAUGGGCACUGGGUUAGGGGGCUCGCCGAUGGGCUCCCUGCCGCAGGGAAACCGUGAAGUGCCCCGCCUGGGGAGUAUGGUCGCAAGGCUGAAACUCAAAGGAAUUGACGGGGGCUCACACAAGCGGUGGAG
This 872-nucleotide ribosomal RNA is filed under the name uncultured soil bacterium. RNAcentral's name for it is "bacterial SSU rRNA". It matches the Rfam family "Bacterial small subunit ribosomal RNA", at positions 60 to 937 of the family's 1533-position model. The record is from RNAcentral.